CCUACGGGCGGCUGCAGUGGGGAAUAUUGGACAAUGGGCGCAAGCCUGAUCCAGCAAUGCCGCGUGAGUGAUGAAGGCCUUCGGGUUGUAAAGCUCUUUCGCACGCGACGAUGAUGACGGUAGCGUGAGAAGAAGCCCCGGCUAACUUCGUGCCAGCAGCCGCGGUAAUACGAAGGGGGCUAGCGUUGUUCGGAAUUACUGGGCGUAAAGGGCGCGUAGGCGGUGUGUCAAGUCAGGCGUGAAAGCCCCGGGCUCAACCUGGGAACUGCGCUUGAGACUGGCACGCUCGAGUUCGGGAGAGGAUGGUGGAAUUCCCAGUGUAGAGGUGAAAUUCGUAGAUAUUGGGAAGAACACCGAUGGCGAAGGCAGCCAUCUGGACCGACACUGACGCUGAGGCGCGAAAGCGUGGGGAGCAAACAGGAUUAGAUACCCUGGUAGUC
Molecule: ribosomal RNA, 440 nt
Filed under: uncultured Skermanella sp.
Lineage: Bacteria; Pseudomonadati; Pseudomonadota; Alphaproteobacteria; Rhodospirillales; Azospirillaceae
Description: bacterial SSU rRNA
Rfam family: Bacterial small subunit ribosomal RNA
Source: RNAcentral